RNAcentral lists this transfer RNA (71 nucleotides) under Loxodonta africana (African savanna elephant). It matches the Rfam family "tRNA". From Rfam's summary of the family: Transfer RNA (tRNA) molecules are approximately 80 nucleotides in length. Their secondary structure includes four short double-helical elements and three loops (D, anti-codon, and T loops). Further hydrogen bonds mediate the characteristic L-shaped molecular structure. tRNAs have two regions of fundamental functional importance: the anti-codon, which is responsible for specific mRNA codon recognition, and the 3' end, to which the tRNAs corresponding amino acid is attached (by aminoacyl-tRNA synthetases). tRNAs cope with the degeneracy of the genetic code in two manners: having more than one tRNA (with a specific anti-codon) for a particular amino acid; and 'wobble' base-pairing, i.e. permitting non-standard base-pairing at the 3rd anti-codon position. The record is from Rfam by way of RNAcentral. Lineage: Eukaryota; Metazoa; Chordata; Mammalia; Proboscidea; Elephantidae.
GCAUUGGUGGUUCAGUGGUAGAAUUCUUCCCUUCCAUGUGGAAGACCCAGGUUCGAUGUCUGGCCAGUGCA